This 490-nucleotide ribosomal RNA is filed under the name uncultured bacterium. RNAcentral's name for it is "partial 16S ribosomal RNA". It matches the Rfam family "Bacterial small subunit ribosomal RNA", at positions 28 to 507 of the family's 1533-position model. The record is from RNAcentral.
GAUGAACGCUAGCUACAGGCUUAAUACAUGCAAGUCGCGGGGCAGCAUGGGGGUUGCUUGCAAUCCCCGAUGGCGACCGGCGCACGGGUGAGUAACGCGUAUCCAACCUGCCCUUCACCACGGGAUAACCCGGCGAAAGUCGGACUAAUACCGUAUGUUGUCCAUUGACGGCCUCCGAUUUGGACGAAAGGUUUGGCGGUGAAGGAUGGGGAUGCGUCCGAUUAGCUGGACGGCGGGGUGACGGCCCACCGUGGCGACGAUCGGUAGGGGUUCUGAGAGGAAGGUCCCCCACACUGGAACUGAGACACGGUCCAGACUCCUACGGGAGGCAGCAGUGAGGAAUAUUGGUCAAUGGGCGUAAGCCUGAACCAGCCAAGUAGCGUGCAGGAUGACGGCCCUAUGGGUUGUAAACUGCUUUUAUGCGGGGAUAAAGUGGCCCACGUGUGGGUUUUUGCAGGUACCGCAUGAAUAAGGACCGGCUAAUUCCGUG